This 253-nucleotide ribosomal RNA is filed under the name uncultured bacterium. Its description in RNAcentral is "partial 16S ribosomal RNA". It matches the Rfam family "Bacterial small subunit ribosomal RNA", at positions 524 to 776 of the family's 1533-position model. The record is from RNAcentral.
UACGGAGGAUGCAAGCGUUAUCCGGAAUGAUUGGGCGUAAAGCGUCCGCAGGUGGCUAUGUAAGUCUGCUGUUAAAGAGUGAGGCUCAACCUCAUAAGAGCAGUGGAAACUACAUGGCUAGAGUUCGUUCGGGGCAGAGGGAAUUCCUGGUGUAGCGGUGAAAUGCGUAGAGAUCAGGAAGAACACCGGUGGCGAAGGCGGCUGCCUGGGCCUGGCCUGACGCUGAGGCGCGAAAGCGUGAGGAGCGAUCCGG